RNAcentral lists this non-coding RNA (100 nucleotides) under Vibrio tubiashii. RNAcentral describes it as "Guanine sequence". It matches the Rfam family "Purine riboswitch aptamer". From Rfam's summary of the family: Riboswitches are metabolite binding domains within certain messenger RNAs that serve as precision sensors for their corresponding targets. Allosteric rearrangement of mRNA structure is mediated by ligand binding, and this results in modulation of gene expression. Lineage: Bacteria; Pseudomonadati; Pseudomonadota; Gammaproteobacteria; Vibrionales; Vibrionaceae. The record is from RNAcentral.
UCCGCGCAAACGAUUAAAUGCUGUAUAUGUCUAAUAAAACGGAUUGGACGUUUCUACCACUGAGCCUACCUUAGUGACUACAGUAGCUUAUGCGCCUAUC